Non-coding RNA from Arabidopsis suecica, 121 nucleotides. NCBI's taxonomy places the organism in Eukaryota, Viridiplantae, Streptophyta, Magnoliopsida, Brassicales, Brassicaceae. The record is from the annotation of a GenBank genome assembly.
UUAACCCAUUUAACAACUCAGUCCAUCAAAUUAAAUGAGUUAUGGUUGACCCAACUCAUUUAACAAAAUGAGUUGGGUCAACCCAUAACUUAUUUAACCUUAAACUCAUUUGAUUAUGAGU